Etheostoma spectabile (orangethroat darter) is the source of this 171-nucleotide long non-coding RNA. RefSeq lists it as uncharacterized. The record is from RefSeq and is a predicted model, not a curated record. The transcript has 3 exons. Lineage: Eukaryota; Metazoa; Chordata; Actinopteri; Perciformes; Percidae.
CACCAUCAGAACAAGAUGUCAAUGUAUCCAGUACUUUGGUUUAUAACUAAAUACCUGCAAAACUAAUAACUUUUCCAUCAGCCUCAACUGUACUUUGUGUUAAGCGCUAAUUAGCAAAUGUUAAUUAGCAUGCUAACACACUAAACUAAGUAACAUGGUGUAAACAUUGUC